GUGCUUGCUUCAGCAGCACAUAUACUAAAAUUAGAACAGUACAGAGUAGAUUAGCAUGGCCCCUGCACAGAGAUGACAUGCAAAUUAAUGAAGUGUUCCAUAUUUCU
Molecule: small nuclear RNA, 107 nt
Organism: Physeter macrocephalus (sperm whale)
Lineage: Eukaryota; Metazoa; Chordata; Mammalia; Artiodactyla; Physeteridae
Source: Ensembl